This is a long non-coding RNA of Trachymyrmex septentrionalis, 101 nucleotides long. RefSeq lists it as uncharacterized. NCBI's taxonomy places the organism in Eukaryota, Metazoa, Arthropoda, Insecta, Hymenoptera, Formicidae. The record is from RefSeq and is a predicted model, not a curated record. The transcript has 3 exons.
UCAUCGAAGGUAAACCUAACAUCCUCAAAUUUAAUGCCACAGUGACUUAACAAGAACCUAAUUGAUUCUCCAAGGCCGGUAACAUCGAAAUAUAUCAGCUU